Molecule: long non-coding RNA, 751 nt
Organism: Calidris pugnax (ruff)
Lineage: Eukaryota; Metazoa; Chordata; Aves; Charadriiformes; Scolopacidae
Exons: 3
Source: RefSeq, a predicted model, not a curated record
UUGGUACAUGGCCCACAGGGGAAGAAGAGAGGGUAGUUGUCCUGCUGUGGGUUUCCCCUCAGCCCCAGGCUAUGCAGCGCUUGUUUCCCUGAAGCACUGAAGGCCCUUACCCCCAGAGCGGUAGAUUGGGGGGUCCCCAGCGUGUCUGUUCUUUGGAAAGCAUGAGCUCUGAGUCUGCUGAGUGUGGAAACCCAGCGCUGCUCAGACCCAUCUCAUGUAUUUUCUUCCUUAACACGCACCUCUGGCUCCCUACAGAGCCCUUGCCUGGGGGCUCAGAAAGCAGAGGGUCUCGCCACUGGUGGUGGGGUCCUGAACCCCUCUCACUUCGCCUACAGCUGGUAGGAAUCUAAGAGUUUCUGUAUCGGAGAUACUCAGACUUCCACCACAGUGUUUUUGAAGUGUGGGUCCAUUGCCCAGGUUUUGAAGAUAACUUAAGACUUGUGAGAAAGACAGCAGCAAGUGAAAUUGAAUCCUGCAUCCCCUGGUUUGCAAUAGGGCUCAGGAGAAACUAGCAUGAAGUGACAUGGAAAUGCUGUUUGACACACUCCAGGAGGAGGACUUCAGGCUUCGACGAGGGGGACGGUACCUCAGCAGCCCAAGGGGGAACAGGGAGCCCAUCCUGAGAGAGAGAGCAGGACCCUGAAAGCGAUAGAGAAUUUGACCAAGCUGGAAGAGCUGCUGAAUGCUGAGGCACAUGGGACCUGUUGCAGAGUGACUGAGCAGCACCCGUGUUUCACAGACGCAGGCCAGG